This 1190-nucleotide small RNA is filed under the name Pan troglodytes (chimpanzee). RNAcentral describes it as "sense intronic". Lineage: Eukaryota; Metazoa; Chordata; Mammalia; Primates; Hominidae. The record is from RNAcentral.
CCAGGAUGGUCUUGAUCUCCUGACCUUGUGAUCCGCCUGCCUCAGCCUCCCAAAGUGCUGGGAUUACAGGUGUGAGCCACUGCGCCCGGCCUAGAUGAAGUUUUAAAGGCUCUCCAUUCUCUUUCUCGCUGGAGUUCACACUUUGGUAUUCUUAAUGAUAAUUAUAUUCGUCUGUGUCUCUUCCCUAGCUUCUUUGGAACAUCUCAGGGCCUUUUGAGUUCUAACUACUCUUCUUGUUUUAUGUGGGCUCUAUCUAAUACCUCUAGAUUAAUUCAGAACAUAUUUAAUCCUUCUUGUAUAAUAGCCUUCACAUGUGUGAAAGCUUGAUCUCUUUCCCAGUCUUAAAAACUCUCCAGCAACUUCAUCCUUCCCUCACCAAAAUGCAAAUUUCCUUCUGCUUGAACCGUGAUGUUUAAGUUCCCUUUCAUAGUGGAGUAUCCAGAAGGGAACACACUGUAGCUAGCUUGUUGUGGGUUAAGACUGUCACUUUCCCUGUUGAAAAGACUUUAUCAGUAUGGCCUGAGGUCAGGGGAUUUUCUUAGCUGUGAUAUACUGUUGAUUUAGUGAGUCAUAAUUAUGCAAAGUUGUGUCCUUUCCCUACAUAGGUUUAUAUAUAUAUAUAUAUAUGGGGUUUUUUUGGACCAAAGACUAAACUUUAUAAUUAUCCUUGUUCAGUUUCAUUGAGAUGAUUUCGGUGCCUCAUAUCAAUUUUCCAAGCUCAGAAGAAUCCCAGAAGCAUUUCUCAGUCUCAAGCUUCCUGGGGCAAGGCAGAUAUUCCUUUGGGGGUUACAACAGCAGCACAGUACUGACGUUUCACCAAGUUCUCUUUCAAGUAGUCCCCCUGGAAGGCUGUAAUAUAAACUUACUCAAACAAUUAAGGCAUAGUUCAUGACUAUUUUGCUUCUUGUCUUUAUAUUUUCUUCACUACCUCCAUAUAUCAUUGCACCUCCUUGAAAAGCAUGUUCUAAUGGCUGUCCAAUUAUCACUGAAUUUUACUCAUAUUUACAAUUUGUAUGCCUGGAAAUGUAAUUUUCCGUAAACAUUUAUGUUCGUUAUGGUUUUUAUGCCGCAGGUUUUGGACCAGACAGUAAACAUUAAAACAGUUGAUUUUAUAACAGAUAUGGAAACUGUCAAGCUGUUUUUCAUUUAUUUAUUUUUUGAGAUGGAGUUUCCCUUGUCACCCAGGCUGG